AUUGAACGCUGGCGGCAUGCCUUACACAUGCAAGUCGAACGGCAGCGCGGGAGCAAUCCUGGCGGCGAGUGGCGAACGGGUGAGUAAUAUAUCGGAACGUGCCCAGUAGUGGGGGAUAGCCCGGCGAAAGCCGGAUUAAUACCGCAUGAGACCUGAGGGUGAAAGCGGGGGAUCGCAAGACCUCGCGCUAUUGGAGCGGCCGAUAUCAGAUUAGCUAGUUGGUGGGGUAAAGGCCUACCAAGACAACGAUCUGUAGUUGGUCUGAGAGGACGACCAGCCACACUGGGACUGAAACACGGCCCAGACUCCUACGGGAGGCAGCAGUGGGGAAUUUUGCGCAAUGGGGGAAACCCUGACGCAGCAACGCCGCGUGGGUGAUGAAGGCCCUCGGGUCGUAAAGCCCUGUCGGGUGGGAAGAAGCCCUUGACGGUGAAUAAUCGGCGAGGAUGACGGUACCACUAGAGGAAGCACCGGCUAACUCUGUGCCAGCAGCCGA
This 496-nucleotide ribosomal RNA is filed under the name uncultured bacterium. Its description in RNAcentral is "bacterial SSU rRNA". It matches the Rfam family "Bacterial small subunit ribosomal RNA", at positions 29 to 518 of the family's 1533-position model. The record is from RNAcentral.